AACGAACACUGGCGGCAGGCCUAACACAUGCAAGUCGAACGCCCUGGCAACAGGGAGUGGCAGACGGGUGAGUAACGCGUGGGAACGUGCCCUUCGGUUCGGAAUAACUCAGGGAAACUUGAGCUAAUACCGAAUACGUGCGAGAGCAGAAAGAUUUAUCGCCGAAGGAUCGGCCCGCGUCCGAUUAGCUAGUUGGUGAGGUAAUGGCUCACCAAGGCGACGAUCGGUAGCUGGUCUGAGAGGAUGAUCAGCCACACUGGGACUGAGACACGGCCCAGACUCCUACGGGAGGCAGCAGCGGGGAAUAUUGGACAAUGGGCGCAAGCCUGAUCCAGCCAUGCCGCGUGAGUGAUGAAGGCCCUAGGGUUGUAAAGCUCUUUCGCCAGGGACGAUAAUGACGGUACCUGGAUAAGAAGCCCCGGCUAACUUCGUGCCAGCCGCCGCGGUAA
RNAcentral lists this ribosomal RNA (449 nucleotides) under uncultured bacterium. RNAcentral's name for it is "partial 16S ribosomal RNA". It matches the Rfam family "Bacterial small subunit ribosomal RNA", at positions 29 to 523 of the family's 1533-position model. The record is from RNAcentral.